UAGGUUCAAAGCUAACUAUUGAAGGUAUGAGGAAUAAUAGAUCACUUCCAUCGGAUAACUCAUAACCCAAAUUUUGUGUUCAUAUCUUGACGAAUGGUUUAUAUUUGAGAUUGAUCUCCAUUCUAGUUAUGAGCAGGUUUUUCUUGUACUAAUAAAUUUAUCUUGCUCCUAUAUCUUAGAAUGGGUUUCCAAUCAAGAAAUACAAAAUUAAAACUUGUAGGAUUGUUUUGAUGUGAUACCUUUUAAUAAUUGUUAGAAUCCCUUAAUUAGUGUA
This 274-nucleotide unclassified non-coding RNA is filed under the name Hevea brasiliensis (rubber tree). Lineage: Eukaryota; Viridiplantae; Streptophyta; Magnoliopsida; Malpighiales; Euphorbiaceae. The record is from RNAcentral.